GUGGGGAAUAUUGGACAAUGGGGGCAACCCUGAUCCAGCAAUGCCGCGUGAGUGAGGAAGGCCUUAGGGUUGUAAAGCUCUUUCACCCACGACGAUGAUGACGGUAGUGGGAGAAGAAGCCCCGGCUAACUUCGUGCCAGCAGCCGCGGUAAUACGAAGGGGGCGAGCGUUGUUCGGAUUUACUGGGCGUAAAGGGCGCGUAGGCGGCCAUCUUUGUCAGGCGUGAAAGCCCCGGGCUCAACCUGGGAAUUGCGUCUGGGACGGGGUGGCUAGAGAUCGGGAGAGGAGCGUGGAAUUCCCAGUGUAGAGGUGAAAUUCGUAGAUAUUGGGAAGAACACCGGUGGCGAAGGCGGCGCUCUGGACCGAUACUGACGCUGAGGCGCGAAAGCGUGGGGAGCAAAC
This 402-nucleotide ribosomal RNA is filed under the name uncultured bacterium. RNAcentral's name for it is "bacterial SSU rRNA". It matches the Rfam family "Bacterial small subunit ribosomal RNA", at positions 354 to 773 of the family's 1533-position model. The record is from RNAcentral.